This is a non-coding RNA of Anas platyrhynchos (mallard), 704 nucleotides long. NCBI's taxonomy places the organism in Eukaryota, Metazoa, Chordata, Aves, Anseriformes, Anatidae. The record is from RefSeq and is a predicted model, not a curated record.
GAUCUUUUUCAAUGUUAGUAUUAACUACAAGCAGUGGUGUAGCACACUGGUUCAGACCUGACUUCCACACUGGAAAGAAUGCAAAUCUUGCACUGACAGAGCAGAGCUUGAGUCACUCUUGCAACUAAACCAUGCCAAGCUGCAAGUUACAGCUUGGACUCCAUUGAAAGCCUUAGCUGAAGCUUUAGCUUUCUUAAAAACUCAAGAACUUUCCCAUCAAAUGUCAUCUGAUAAUGAGAUUGGGAAGAGACCUUAUGACCUGACAGGUUCACAGAAGUUGCAGUAUUUUCAGAGGUAUUUGGAAUGAUCUUUGUUGUAAAGAUAUCUAAGAAUAUACAGACAGCUUGUCUCUAGGUGUUGACUGAAGUGGAAUAGUGCGCCAAACAGAUUUCUUCCGUGCAAUGAAAAAUUAUGAAAGUUGAAUCAAAAAGCAUUUGAAGUUUUGAAGGCAUCUGUGAUCCAGAACACUGAAAAGAUAUUCCAUGAAAGUAUAAUGGGAUGCUUCUGUGAAAGCAAGCAGGAGAAGUGCAAUCCUGAUCUACUGGAGAAAAAACGGCAAUCAUUAACUGCAGCUUCUGGUAGCACAUCUCACAUUCACAGUAUCAAUCUUAAUCGUUGAGAUUCCACCCUUAUAAAUCCAUGCUGAUAGUUAUUUCCAAGCAUUACACUGCUGCAAGACAAAUUUGGGUAAGAAGAGGUAAAAA